Long non-coding RNA from Triticum aestivum (bread wheat), 8123 nucleotides. RefSeq lists it as uncharacterized. The transcript is spliced from 4 exons. The record is from RefSeq and is a predicted model, not a curated record. NCBI's taxonomy places the organism in Eukaryota, Viridiplantae, Streptophyta, Magnoliopsida, Poales, Poaceae.
ACCGCACCAGACCGCAUCGCUGGCCCCCCAAAUCCCAAUCCACCCGUGCCCUACACCAUUGCGCCGCCGCCCCCAACAAUCUAACCUUCCACCGGCGGCCGCCCUCUAGCCAUCGCCAUCGCCAUCCCCAAAUCACUCAAUCUACUGGUUCCCGACACCAGAUCGCCGCUGCCCCCAACCGUUUGAUCCCUCCGCCGUCACCCCCACUCCCCCAGCACCGCAGCCCCUCCGCCGCCCCAAUCGGCCCCAGUGCCGCCGUCGCCCCCCACCACCGCAGCCCGUCCGCCGCCCCAACCAAUGCACUGCUGCGUCCUCCACCCAGACCACUGACGCCGUCGUCGCCCACCAUCGCAGCUCCUCUGCCGCCCCUAGCAUCCACUGUCGCUUCCUCCACCCAGACCACUGCCGCCGUCGCCCCCCAACCACUCCAGAGCGGCGCCGCCGAGCACCAAUUGACACGGAGCAUCCCAUCGCCGAGCCAAUCCACCGACGACCUUCCUCCUCCGCUGUACACCGUCGUUCCUCAGUUACCACCCUCCUCGCGAGCUUCCUCCCCCAAGCUAGCCCUCCGCACAUGCUCACCCGAGCCCCAAGGAGCUCCUCCGGCAAGCUGCACCUUCUCCACAGUUUAUGCCUUCACUAGAUUGUGACUUCUUGAAGCAAACACAGGAAGUUUCUGCUGCUAAUUUUUGCUUGUAUUGAUCUGUUGGGAGCCUUUAUGUACUUUAUACAGAUGCAGUUUAUCUUGCUACAAUUUUUUCUUGUAUUCAUCUGUUGGGAGUCUUUAUGUACUUUAUACUGAUUCACAUGUAAUAAGCAGCUUGUAGUAUUAGUGAAGGAACAACACCAGGAGACAACCCACUGACCAAGGAGCGCCCUUAUAUCAUCAGUAUCCACCGAAACAAUAGUGACCAUCGUAGUAGAUUAUAUAUGGCCGUGUCAACUGCAGUCUGGUCGUAGAUUUGAAGUUUGGUCAUCGUUCAUAUUGAUGUGAGUACACCAUGACCACCCCCUAGAGUGAACCAAAAUGAUGAGUCAUAACUGCUUCUUGUGCAAGCUUACUUUGUUCAUUUUCAAUGUAAUAUAUGGUAUUUAGAUUUUUUUCCCUAUUAAUAGAAGUAAACUUUCUUUUGUAUGUUACGCAAUGUAUUGCAUGGCCUUACAAGCAUGUAAGCUUAGGUCCUAUGAUUAAAUAUACAAUGACUAUCAUGGUUGAUUGCUUAAAACUCUUGCUUCUAUGUAUGCAGUUGGAAGUGAGUUAAUGGCAAAUGCGGCAAUGCGUUGCGACCACAAGCAAGCUGAGGAGGUAAUAUACAUGUUUCUUGGCUGAAUAUUUACAUUAGUGUGUACUAUCAAGGGCAGAUAGUAAUGGUUCGCUCAUUUGGUUGCUACAUGGUUAACUUGUGUCCAGAAAACUUGAGCUCCUGAUUCCAGUAUAUAGUAUUAAUUAGUAAUUCAAACAGAUCAUUAUAGUUCUUUAGAAGUGUGCUUUUGUGUCCAUCAGCCAUGAAUUUGGAGAGAGGUCAGUUGAAUAAAUAUGGUUACAAAUAUAAACUUUAAUUGGAUCAUCUUUCUUUCAUGUACACGAUAGACUCUACCAUGUAGAGAAAUGACUUUCAUUGGAUUCCAUGCUCACAACUUUCAUUUGAUUCAUUUCUCAUAACUGGAUCCUCUUUCUUUCAUGUACAUGAAGUAUUUUAGCUUGCUUGUUUGUUUGUUUGUUUGUUUGUCAAAAGCCUUGGUUUAUUUUUCUUGGCUAAUUCAACUUGUUGUCCAAGAUGUAGGAAAGUGAACCAAAUGUUCAUAGUGUUUCACUGGAUUUGUAAAUCUGUGGGCUUGUCCACUACUCAGAUACUCCCUCCGUCCCAAAAUAAGUCUCAUAACUUUUGUACAACUUUGUACUAAAGUUACAAAGUUGAUACACUUAUUUUGGGACGGAGCGAGUACCAUUUUAGGGGACCUUCAUUUGUAACUUGUCCAACAAAAGCAUGGAACCAGGAAACUAAACAACUCCCAUUAAAAGAUCCUGAAAUAUAUGUCCAGCUAGUUCCCCUCUUAUUCUGUGUAGCCAGCAAAUCAUUUAUGUAACUGAACUUUAAUAGCUCCUGCAAAGAGGGAGCAAAAAUUAAAAGGCUUGUUUAUGCAAUGGGACCAACAUUGAGUCAUCUUUACAAUAAGAGGCAAUGCUUCAGUGAAAAUCACAGUACUCCCAAUACACCCCUUCACCAGAUUCCGCAACAGGAGAAAUGUAGUUCAACUUCGUGUUCUGGAUGCAGGAAGUCUGUAAGCACAGUUGUCAUCAUUGCUCUAAGGAAAUACCACGCAAAACCACAAAAUGGUAUCGUCAUUUAUAGAUUUCCAGAUUCAUUAUCCUAUUAUGUUGUGCCAACUUCAUAUAGGAACUCAAAAUAAAUCAGCUUAUAUCCAAGGUCAGGCUCAAUAUCAAGGCCCACUAGAGACUGGACUAGCACACUGAAUCCACAGGUUCCGAUACUAAUGUGUAAUUGUAUUACUUUGAAGAAGCCAAGGUAUACGACAUACGAAAUUUUAAGAAGCACAACUAAACACCUGUUGCGUUCUGGUAGAGAAAAAGUACCAGGUGAAAAUAAGAUGCUAUAAUUUUGCAUAUGUGCUUGUUCAGUACACUAGCUUCAAAAUUUGCUUGUGUAAUGUUAAGUGUGUGAUCGUGGCCUUGUGCUUGUGUAAUAUUCGUACAGACUUUGCACACUAUAUUUGGAUGAGAAGUUAGAUAAGCUUGCUACUGUCAAGAUGAUAAAAAAUGGACAUGUUGAUGUCCAGGAUAUGUUGUCUACUAAAGUAGAGAUUACUCUAGAGAUCUCUACUAUUAAAGGAGAAUCGAACGUCGUGAUGGUUCGACCUCCUUCGCUCGCCCCCACCUCGUUCGAUCCCGUACGUGAAAACUUCUCCCCACACGCGAAAAAAACGGACCCCCUCGGCUCCUCCCCACCCGUCGCACGAAAAAAAUGACAACAAAAUAAAACAACGCACGUACGCACGUCCCACCCCCACUUCCCUUCCCCCAAAUCCCUUGCUCUCGAGAGAGGAAUUGCCGCCGCUGACCUCCUCAGUCCUCACGGUGACCUCGAGCGGUUGCACACUGCAACCAAAUUAGACUGGAGCAGUGGAUCCAAGCCCUUUCCAUCUCAUCCAUUCUUCACCGAGUCCAGGAGGAGCUCGAUGUAGGGAGGUAGACGAGCAAGAGCGCCGCGUCCAUGGCAACGAUGAACAGGGCAUAGGUAACGUAUCUUCCUACCCUCACUCCAACCCAUCUUCUCCCCGUAGCCUGUACUGGGGUACACCCACGUUCUCCUCUCCCAUGGCAGGGGCCGACGAGUGGCAACGCGCGGCGGGAGACCGGCUGGUGGGAACGGAUGGCGGGAGGCGGUGGGACCGUGGGAGGAGCAGGUAGUCGGAGGAGAUCGCCGGUGGAAAUCUGGCAAGCGGCGGCGGCAAACAGGGCUUAUGGUUUGAUGUUUGUUUUUUACUAGGUUGUACUGGUCUUUAGAUUGUCAAAACACCGUUUCACCCCUCUUUUAGUCUGGCUUUAAUUCAUUGGUGUGGGUCCUUUGUGUCCUUUGCAGAAUCGUAAUGGCAAUUUGUGCUUUUCUUCGGCACGCUGCUCCACCACCUGUGGAUGUGGGUCGUCCAGGCCUCGCCUCACCUACAAUAUGCUACAUUGGUGUGGGUCCUUGUGAGCCUGCUGCCCCCACCCCCCAUCCCUCUAUAAUCCGAGAUGUCACCCCACCAUUCCUGUUCCGCCAAUGACAACAUCUCCCCUGACCGCUUGUCGUGCCUUGCCUCCAAAUCGGAUCACUGCAGUCUGAAGUAUUUUGAUGUAGCCAUAUCUCAACCACAUGAUGGCACACUAUAUAAGACCUCUAACCCGACGUGGAAGGACGAACUUCGACCAUGGAGCAGAGCACAGCGACGUGUCAAGGAUUGAUGGUCAAUGAUAAAGAGCAGGGGCCCUCAGAUGCUAGCCCUCCUCCUGCUGCUAUCCUCCCCAUCCCCUACGAGAUGUAUAUGGUGCUGACUUUGAGAGGCUGAAUAAUUAGGUUGAUAUUGAGGGAUUAAUAAAGGAUCAGCGGGCCAAGAUGUUUUGAGAUCAAACGGUGAAGUAAUAUUGUGUACUUGUGCUAAGUACUUUUGGUUUUGCCCGCUGAAGGAUUCAUAUGGUUACAAGUUGUACCUCUGACAGUGCUAAAUCAUAUAUAUUUCUUUCAGGUACAUUACUCAUGCAUUUUUCCUCUAAUGGUCUGACACAAUUUUAUCCUCGUUCAAAUUAACUAGGUGCUAGGGACAGUCCUCCAGAGCAAAAGCAUUCAUUUUCAAGGACAUCAUAAGAUGCUAAAAAGUCCAAUUCAAGUAAUUUCUUCAUAAAACAGCCAGGAUAUAUAUUUGAAGGGUAAGUGUUUUUGGAUUGCUUGAGGUAGGGCUACAAGUAACAACUAGAGAAGAAGGGGGCCAAAAAUCCAAAAAGGCAUUAGGCUUGCAGCCACUCCGCCGACAUGACAGUCUUAGUACGCGGCACCGCGUAAACACCCAUUGUGGCGGCGACCACUGACACUGACAACAACGUGGCUUUUCAGCGAGCGGCGGCCCUGACGGUGGCAGCACCCAUCACAUAAGGCAACGCUCCGCACCAGAUCUCUGUUGUGCACACCCAUCCGACCACACCCGACGGUGUUCCCUGAGCCAUGGUGUGUGCCUUCUCCUCCCCUAGAUCAUCUCACCAAUUACUUGCACACCAUCGCCGCAUGAUCCACUAGAGGAAUGUAUAGCAUAGAUUAUCUAUAAAAGAUACUGCUUACUUCUGAUGCUCCAUCAUCGUGUCAGGCUUCAUUUGAUCCUAAAGGACUCCUUUGGUUAGUAAUUCAUCUACUCUUCAUCAUUUUUAUAAAUUAACUUGACUUUAUUUAACUUGGUAAGUUUUGACUGUCUAUCCUUUGCUCAUUGGCUCUAUAUGGCGAUUGUCACAUGUUUGAUUUGACUGCAGAUUGGACAUGUAAUUAUACAUUUCGAGGUAUAACGCUUGUGUUUGUUUCUACAUUUGAACAUUUCUCUUGUGGCGUAGAAACCAUAUUCUAUUCCCCCCUGUUGGGCCAACUUGCUUGUAGAAUUACAAUGGGAGAAUUAUUGAUUUGUUAAUCCAUUCCUUCAACAUGUUAGAACUUGCAUUUUUCCUGCUUAAAGUAUUACGUUAAUACACUACAUAAUCACUGGUGCCUGCAGAGCUGACGUAAUAUAACAAAUUAGGCUGGGUCUGAAAUGUGCAGCCAUGUUGGCCUCGCCAAUGAGUGAAUGUUGGAAGAUGCAACAUUAGGAAAUGCCGAGUAUAUAUGGCAACAUCCAUGGUUCUGUAUCCUAUCUCAUAUAAGGCCUAAUUAAGUCAUUUAGCGCCGAUGUGAUUAGUGAUGUUCCACUGACCUUGAGGUGUGUUAUCACAUACCAAGCAAUUAAUCUACUACCUAAAGUCAUUUUCAUUGCCUCGAUAUCAUUCCCUAUGUCUUUCUUGAAUUCUUUGCUCAAGACAAUUUCCCUGAGAUUAGUUUCCUUUUUGUUCACUUCAGUUUUUAUUUGUUCUAUAGUUCACACCUGGUCCCUUUAGUGUAACUUAUCGAAUAACAAAGUUUUGUCUUUUAUUCACUGGAUGUGGUUCCUAUAGUCAGGGAAAAACAUCUACCUAUAUUGCUGACAUAGUUGCAAGAUUUAUACGUAUUGAGCAAGAACUCAUUAGAUCGAGAUAUGUCCAACAAGGAGAUCUCUCUUGCCUCUUAUGAAGUGUGGCAGAUUUAGAAAGAAAGUGUGGAGAUUUCUUUUAGGCCAAAGAGGGAUGGGUUUGGAAGAGUUAGUUUCUAAAGUUAUUUAGAAUGUUAACCUCCUGUUGGAGGCAUUUGGCACUUAGCCUUUGCUGCUGUACAGCCGAGCUAACUUAUUGACAUCCUCGAAAUUUCCUUACUUUUUAAAUCUUGUUAUGUUGCCUCUUGGGUAGGCUUCAACCUGGUUCCUGUAGAAAAAAAUAAGAUUGCAAAAGUAUAUUAUUAGCAUGUAUCAAUUGUAGUGCAUAACACAUCAAAUUGUACGCAAUGAUGUCCCUUUGUAUGUAAGAACAAGUGAACACAUAAUGUAUUUUUUGUGUCUAUACCUUCAAUGUGGGUAUCUGAAUCUAAACCCAAAAAUAUAUUAUUUUCCUUUUUUGUUUUAUUAUGUUUCAAAUACUUAGCGGGGCUGUUUGUUAAUUCAGGCGGUAUCGCUUCUAUUUUCUUUCUGUUUAUUUCCUUUAAUCAAAAUUUUUGAACUGGACAAGAGAGGGUUUUUUAAGAUCCUGGACAAGGGAGGUUGUCCCCUCCUAUUUUGAUCGCUGAAUAACUCAUGAAAUGGAUGAUAUAGCCAUCAAGAUUUUGUUAUUCUUACACUGAAUGCAUCUAAAGAAAAUAUUGUUACAAGUAAUGAAUGGAUUGUUGUACAUCAAGAUCUGUGUUUUUCUUCAACACUCUUUGAUCCAUUGUUUCUAAAGGCAAUGGUGAAAAAUGUAUUCUCUUCAUUAGUUUCGAGGAGGUGUGACUUUUUUCUCCUCACACAAAGCGAGGAAGUAAAUAACUCCAUUCUCUUAUUUCUAGGCAGGAUGUAUAAGGUUUGACACAUGCGUGAAAUAUAACUCAAGAGGGUUGCGUGUUGAAUGAGUGACAUUAUGAGUUUGAUAUUUUUUCUAAGGAUUUAAAUGCUUCUAGAUUUUUUGAAAUAUGAUUGCUUUGUAAGAGUGUUUAUUGCGCAACAGUGUUAUGUAUAUUGAUAACCAAGAAGAGUGAGUGAAGAGGAUGGAAUAAAUGGCCGCAACUACAUUACAUUUUUGCCAUAUUAGGUGUGCAUGGGCGAGUACUUAGAUGAUGCUAGACGAGUCCAAUCGCAGCAAUAAGAGCCAAAUGUGAGUUGAGAGGCAGGUUAAGUGGGUAUAAGAAGUGACACAAACCUUAUCAAAUAUUGUCUAAUCAAGGUAGGGGAAGGUACAUAAAUCAUGGCGAAGCGAUGGCGAGUAGGAUGAUGAUGGGGCCAAACAAUCAUUGUUGAUCUAAAGGCAGACCCGAAGGCGACAGUGGAGAGACCAUCAAUGUAACAGUAACUAUAGUAUGACUAACCAGAGUAGGGAAAGAUACAUACACAAGGACGAAGCAACGAUGCAACUGAAUCACAACUCCAAAUGCACGGCUACCUUUUUCCUACAGAUUUGGUCAAGGGAGUGACAAACCUUUUUGUAUACUGAAUCACAAUGACAAAUAUAUGCACUAGAAAAUUUGAGUGUGGGUCAUGUGGGUUUUAUUUAAAGUGCAGGUACAAUGCGAUAUUUUUCACAACAAUCAUAUGCUACCUCCAACAUACAUAGUGUAAAUUAUAACAACAUUAAAGUCAAUUUCUCUCUGAAAAAUUUAUUUUUGUUUCGUGGCAACGCACGGGCAUUCAACUAGUGUUACUAGUUGCUCUAUGUUUCAGAACAUAUGCAGCUGUUGUAUGUCGGGCAUGCGGCUGUUGUAUGUGAUUGUUUUAACAUCUUCUUGUUAAUAUUUGUACAGACUUUGCACGCUACAUUUUGAUGAGAAGAUAAACUUGCUAUUGUUAAGAUGAUAAAAAAUGGACAUCUUGAUGUCCAGGACAUGUUCUCUACUAUAGAAGAGAUUACUCAAGAGAUGUUACUGGUUGCUCUAUAUUUUAGAACAUAUAUCCGUCUGUUAUAUGCGAUUGUUGUAACAUCUUCCUUAAGUUAUGACUGCAACUGUUAUAUGUAACAUCUUCUGAUCUAUUGCAGGUUUCCCAAAGGUGCACAAGUUCACUAAGGUUUGGAAGAUCUUCAAGUUGCUGAAGAUUUGGAAGACCUAAAAUUAAGUUGGUGGAGUGAUAAUGACCUGUGUCUUGUUUGUUGAACGUAAAGACUUGCUCUGCUCAUUUUGGUGGUUGUUGAAUUAGCUUAUUUAGGUUGUGUGGCACACAUCUAGAAACAUAUGUACAUCCCUAGUGGCACUACUUUAUUUUGGGUGUGUGGCAAAUGUAUAUAUGUAAUCCUUUUGUGGUACUACCUCUUUAUAUAUGGUCGUUAAGUUUAAGGUUUU